UCUCUGAAGUUUACAUCGUGCAUUACAAAGAAGCAAGCAGAUCUUUCACUACCAAAAAAAAAAAAAAAAAAAACUCUCCAACAGCUACAGAUCUCUCUCCCUCAGAUUUACUUAAAUUUCUAUCCUUCUCUUCAUCUCGUCGACAACUAACCGAUUAUGCGGAGAAUCUCUCAUCACCGCCUUGACGAUUGUGGCUUCUCUCAGGUCAUCUUCCUCUCUUUCUAUCUCUGCGACUCGAGUCAUUAUUGGGCUAAGGUUGUGAAGUUGCAUUUACAAUAGACAGCUUUAGAUAAUUAAUUUCUGUGACUUCUGGGUAAGUGGGUAUUAAGGCUUUGUAGUCGAUCAAUUUCAGUUUGCUUGAUAAAUUUAUAUCGUUAGGUUAUUCGGGUAUUAGACUCCGUAUCCAAAUUUCCAGGUAAAGUGGAGGAUACGAUACACUAGGGAGCUUUGGAUAACAGUGAUACUUGAACCCUCAGGCCAAUUCUGAUGCACCUGAAGGAGAUGAGCCUUUGGCUUUGGACAUGGGGAAGGGUCAAGUAUGAUUCAAUGGGGAGAGCAUUGGAAGAUACUGGACUAUUCAUGCUAAUGGUAAUUGGUGAUGCUUUAGCUAAUCCACUUGGACAUGGGAAUCAUUACAAACUGAGAAUCUAUUAGCAUGCAAUCCACCAGUUCAAUACAAUAUUGUAAGAAGGGGUUUUGAUUCCGAGGCCGAAGACUGAGCUCAUUGUUGGUUUGGUGGGUGAUGUGGUGAAGGAUGAGGAGGGUUUAAGAGAGGGUUUGUGGGCAGAUUUGGGGACUGGGAGUGGGGCUAUUGCUAUUGGGAGGCUUUUGGGGACUGGUGGCAGAGUCAUUGCAACUGAUUUGAGUGCCACUGCGAUUUCGGUUGCGGGUUUUAAUGUGGAGAGGUAUGGUUUACAGUUUAUAUUAUUUCAAAAUUGGAGAGAAGCUAUAGGAGGUGGUCGUUGAUUCAGACAAGAUGGGAUUGUGGCUGUGGGUUUAGACAAGAAGAUGGAGAAAAAGAAGUUUUCCAGUCACCUAUUCAGUUUGAGGAGUUAGACUCACCCUAUCAAAGACGCAACCAACAGCUACCAAAGCUUUGACGUCGCCAAAAGUCAUUUGCGACGGUAAAUUAACUUUUAGCGACGGCAUCUUUCCUUGGCCAAUGCAAUUAUUUUUUGUAGUGUUUUCAGUUUGAAUGACAAUAAGCUGUGUGCAUUACAAAGAAGCAAGCAGUGAUCAUAUCAAUGACAAAGAAGUAGAGUUAAAUUAACGUGCUUUUAGCAAAGUAUCAAGCAGUGAUAUUGUAAAAGCAGAUCUGUUUGCUUCUUUGUAAAAGAUGGCUUUUCCCAAAAUGUUCUGCACAAAUGUUAGUAGUGGAGAUAUUCUCAAAAAGAUA
Rosa rugosa (rugosa rose) is the source of this 1396-nucleotide RNA transcript. RefSeq lists it as uncharacterized. Lineage: Eukaryota; Viridiplantae; Streptophyta; Magnoliopsida; Rosales; Rosaceae. The transcript has 3 exons. The record is from RefSeq and is a predicted model, not a curated record.